Molecule: ribosomal RNA, 468 nt
Filed under: uncultured bacterium
Lineage: Bacteria
Description: partial 16S ribosomal RNA
Rfam family: Bacterial small subunit ribosomal RNA
Source: RNAcentral
GAUGAACGCUGGCGGCGUGCUUAACACAUGCAAGUCGAACGGUGAAGGCGGAGCUUGCUCUGCUGGAUCAGUGGCGAACGGGUGAGUAACACGUGAGCAAUCUGCCCCUGACUCUGGGAUAAGCGCUGGAAACGGCGUCUAAUACUGGAUACGAGCUGCGAAGGCAUCUUCAGCAGCUGGAAAGAAUUUCGGUCAGGGAUGAGCUCGCGGCCUAUCAGCUUGUUGGUGAGGUAAUGGCUCACCAAGGCGUCGACGGGUAGCCGGCCUGAGAGGGUGACCGGCCACACUGGGACUGAGACACGGCCCAGACUCCUACGGGAGGCAGCAGUGGGGAAUAUUGCACAAUGGGCGAAAGCCUGAUGCAGCAACGCCGCGUGAGGGACGACGGCCUUCGGGCUGUAAACCUCUUUUAGCAGGGAAGAAGCGAAAGUGACGGUACCUGCAGAAAAAGCGCCGGCUAACUGCGUG